RNAcentral lists this long non-coding RNA (508 nucleotides) under Manihot esculenta (cassava). RNAcentral's name for it is "long non-coding RNA (MESC_LNC000556)". Lineage: Eukaryota; Viridiplantae; Streptophyta; Magnoliopsida; Malpighiales; Euphorbiaceae. The record is from RNAcentral.
ACAGGAGAAAGCAAACAAAUUGUAAAAACGAACAUAUAGAUAUCCAUAAUAAGCGAAAGACAAAUUCUCAAUCAAAAAAAACUCUCACAUAUCAAAAUAUCACUUGCGAGGAUGAGGAUGGUGUGUUCUACAGUGUUCAAUCACGUUUUCCAAGGCAAAUCUCCAUAAACCACCAUCUAACAGUUCCUCAUUAGUGUUUGGACGAGAAAACCGCCAAUUUUGAAUGAAAAAUACCAAACAAAGCAAGUAGGGGGAUAAACAAUAAAUCUUGACCGAUGAAAAGCAACAAUUUACCUAUAUAAGCAACAAAACCACCAAAAAGAGCACAACUAUCAUCGGAAGACACAAAUCUAAAGAUAACAUUUCGUUAGAACGUUAGAUCUACAAACUCUAAAAUAAAGAAAAACAUCAGAUUUGUAAAUUUUAAAAUAAAAAAAAUUAAUAAAAAAGCCACCCAAAUGUGAAAACCCACUCUCGAGUAAUUGGAGGAGGUCUUCCUAUUCGGAUG